CGUGUGUGUGUGUGUGCGUGUGUGUGUGUACACAUACACACACACACACACACACACC
Molecule: microRNA precursor, 58 nt
Filed under: Podarcis lilfordi (Lilford's wall lizard)
Lineage: Eukaryota; Metazoa; Chordata; Lepidosauria; Squamata; Lacertidae
Source: RNAcentral